This 253-nucleotide ribosomal RNA is filed under the name uncultured bacterium. RNAcentral describes it as "partial 16S ribosomal RNA". It matches the Rfam family "Bacterial small subunit ribosomal RNA", at positions 524 to 776 of the family's 1533-position model. The record is from RNAcentral.
UACGUAGGGAGCGAGCGUUAUCCGGAUUUAUUGGGUGUAAAGAGUGCGUAGACGGGAUGGCAAGUUAGCUGUGAAAUCCCUCGGCUUAACCGAGGAACUGCAGCUAAAACUACUAUUCUUGAGUGCUGGAGGGGAAAGUGGAAUUCCUAGUGUAGCGGUGAAAUGCGUAGAUAUUAGGAGGAACACCAGUGGCGAAGGCGACUUUCUGGACAGUAACUGACGUUGAGGCACGAAAGUGUGGGGAGCAAACAGG